Long non-coding RNA from Lycium ferocissimum, 333 nucleotides. RefSeq lists it as uncharacterized. Lineage: Eukaryota; Viridiplantae; Streptophyta; Magnoliopsida; Solanales; Solanaceae. The record is from RefSeq and is a predicted model, not a curated record. The transcript has 2 exons.
ACUGCCGCAUCUUUUUUCUUCAAUAGAUUUUGCUCCAACAACUUUAAAAAAAAAAACUCUUUGAUUAUCACCAAUUCAACAUGAGAGCUAAGUGGAAGAAGAAGCGUAUGAGGAGGUUGAAGAGAAAGCGCCGAAAGAUGAGACAGAGAUCCAAGUAGAAUGUAUUUCGCAGUUCGUAAUGGUUUAAUCUAUGUUUUUUUGGGGCUAUAUUUAGGCUUAAUGCUGUUUAAGUUUUAAGUUUAAAUUUCAGUAACAUUGAAUAGAGGUUUUGACCUAAAUGGCAUCGAAUUCAGAUUCUGAUAUCCGUUUAUUAUAUUAUAGUUUUAUGUUUUU